UACGGGGGGGGUAAGCGUUGUUCGGAAUUACUGGGCGUAAAGGGCUCGUAGGCGGCCAACUAAGUCAUACGUGAAAUCCCUCAGCUUAACUGGGGAACUGCGUGUGAUACUGGAUGGCUUGGAUUUGGGAGAGGGAUGCGGAAUUCCAGGUGUAGCGGUGAAAUGCGUAGAUAUCUGGAGGAACACCGGUGGCGAAGGCGGGUCUCUGGGCCGUAACUGACGCUGAGGAGCGAAAGCGUGGGGAGCGAACAGG
This 253-nucleotide ribosomal RNA is filed under the name uncultured bacterium. Its description in RNAcentral is "partial 16S ribosomal RNA". It matches the Rfam family "Bacterial small subunit ribosomal RNA", at positions 524 to 776 of the family's 1533-position model. The record is from RNAcentral.